This 253-nucleotide unclassified non-coding RNA is filed under the name uncultured Gammaproteobacteria bacterium. RNAcentral's name for it is "contains 16S-23S intergenic spacer region". It matches the Rfam family "Bacterial small subunit ribosomal RNA", at positions 524 to 776 of the family's 1533-position model. The record is from RNAcentral. Lineage: Bacteria; Pseudomonadati; Pseudomonadota; Gammaproteobacteria.
UACGUAGGGUGCAGGCGUUAAUCGGAAUUACUGGGCGUAAAGCGUGCGCAGGCGGUUCGCUAAAACAGGUGUGAAAUCCCCGGGCUUAACCUGGGAACUGCGCUUGUUACUGGCGAGCUUGAGUGCGGCAGAGGGGGGUGGAAUUCCACGUGUAGCAGUGAAAUGCGUAGAGAUGUGGAGGAACACCGAUGGCGAAGGCAGCCCCCUGGGAUAACACUGACGCUCAUGCACGAAAGCGUGGGGAGCAAACAGG